GUGUUAGUAAUUAAAAGUCUUAAAAUAUGAAAAAUUUAUAUAAAAAGUGUCCAAAUUCAAAACAUUAUCAAACUCUCUAAAAAUGCCUAGAAUGCAGGAUUUUGCACCAUUCAUUUCAUACCUUCAAAAAAAAAAAUUCGCCUCGCUUCGCUCGGCUCAAUUAUUUUGCCUCACUAAAAUAAGAUGCCUAGUUACGGCCUUGA
Molecule: long non-coding RNA, 203 nt
Filed under: Mytilus galloprovincialis (Mediterranean mussel)
Lineage: Eukaryota; Metazoa; Mollusca; Bivalvia; Mytilida; Mytilidae
Source: RNAcentral